RNAcentral lists this long non-coding RNA (176 nucleotides) under Canis lupus familiaris (dog). Its description in RNAcentral is "lncRNA (ENSCAFG00030021654.1)". Lineage: Eukaryota; Metazoa; Chordata; Mammalia; Carnivora; Canidae. The record is from RNAcentral.
AAAAAUAUGAAAGAGAUUCUCUGUCUUAGGACUUCCAUAAAAGAGGAUUUUCAUUGCUGACAAUGAGGAGCCAGUGAAGGAUGCUGAGCAUGAGAAUAAUGUGUGCAGGCAUUGUUUUUGGAAGAUUCAUCAUGCAUUCAUGAUACAAGAUAGAUUGUAGAAGACAUGUACCAGCA